CCUACGGUGGGCAGCAGUGAGGAAUAUUGGUCAAUGGGCGCGAGCCUGAACCAGCCACGCAGCGUGAAGGAUGACUGCCCUACGGGUUGUAAACUUCUUUUGUAAAGGAAUAAAGUGAGGCACGUUUGCCUUUUUGUAUGUACUUUAUGAAUAAGGAUCGGCUAACUCCGUGCCAGCAGCCGCGAUAAUACGGAGGAUCCGAGCGUUAUCCGGAUUUAUUGGGUUUAACGGGAGCGUAGAUGGGUUGUUAAGUCAGUUGUGAAAGUUUGCGGCUCAACCGUAAAAUUGCAAUUGAUACUGGCAGUCUUGAGUACAGAUGAGGUAGGCGGAAUUCGUGGUGUAGCGGUGAAAUGCUUAGAUAUCACGAAGAACACCGAUUGCGAAGGCAGCUUACUAACCUGCAACUGACAUUGAUGCUCGAAAGUGUGGGUAGCAAACAGGAUUAGAUACCCGGGUAGUC
RNAcentral lists this ribosomal RNA (460 nucleotides) under uncultured bacterium. RNAcentral describes it as "partial 16S ribosomal RNA". It matches the Rfam family "Bacterial small subunit ribosomal RNA", at positions 338 to 795 of the family's 1533-position model. The record is from RNAcentral.